RNAcentral lists this ribosomal RNA (634 nucleotides) under Fusarium solani. Its description in RNAcentral is "eukaryotic LSU rRNA". It matches the Rfam family "Eukaryotic large subunit ribosomal RNA", at positions 1 to 657 of the family's 3401-position model. Lineage: Eukaryota; Fungi; Ascomycota; Sordariomycetes; Hypocreales; Nectriaceae. The record is from RNAcentral.
UUGACCUCGAAUCAGGUAGGAAUACCCGCUGAACUUAAGCAUAUCAAUAAGCGGAGGAAAAGAAACCAACAGGGAUUGCCCCAGUAACGGCGAGUGAAGCGGCAACAGCUCAAAUUUGAAAUCUGGCUCUCGGGCCCGAGUUGUAAUUUGUAGAGGAUGCUUUUGGUGAGGUGCCUUCCGAGUUCCCUGGAACGGGACGCCAUAGAGGGUGAGAGCCCCGUCUGGUUGGACACCGAUCCUCUGUAAAGCUCCUUCGACGAGUCGAGUAGUUUGGGAAUGCUGCUCUAAAUGGGAGGUAUAUGUCUUCUAAAGCUAAAUACCGGCCAGAGACCGAUAGCGCACAAGUAGAGUGAUCGAAAGAUGAAAAGAACUUUGAAAAGAGAGUUAAACAGUACGUGAAAUUGUUGAAAGGGAAGCGCUUGUGACCAGACUUGGGCUUGGUUGAUCAUCCGGGGUUCUCCCCGGUGCACUCUUCCGGCUCAGGCCAGCAUCAGUUCGCCCUGGGGGAUAAAGGCUUCGGGAAUGUGGCUCUCUCCGGGGAGUGUUAUAGCCCGCUGCGUAAUACCCUGUGGCGGACUGAGGUUCGCGCAUUCGCAAGGAUGCUGGCGUAAUGGUCAUCAGUGACCCGUCUUGC